This 466-nucleotide ribosomal RNA is filed under the name Vreelandella stevensii. RNAcentral describes it as "partial 16S ribosomal RNA". It matches the Rfam family "Bacterial small subunit ribosomal RNA", at positions 338 to 795 of the family's 1533-position model. The record is from RNAcentral. Lineage: Bacteria; Pseudomonadati; Pseudomonadota; Gammaproteobacteria; Oceanospirillales; Halomonadaceae.
CCUACGGGAGGCUGCAGUGGGGAAUAUUGGACAAUGGGCGAAAGCCUGAUCCAGCCAUGCCGCGUGUGUGAAGAAGGCCUUCGGGUUGUAAAGCACUUUCAGUGGGGAAGAAAGCCUUGGGGCUAAUACCCUCGAGGAAGGACAUCACCCACAGAAGAAGCACCGGCUAACUCGCGUGCCAGCAGCCGCGGUAAUACGGAGGGUGCGAGCGUUAAUCGGAAUUACUGGGCGUAAAGCGCGCGUAGGCGGUCUGAUAAGCCGGUUGUGAAAGCCCCGGGCUCAACCUGGGAACGGCAUCCGGAACUGUCAGGCUAGAGUGCAGGAGAGGAAGGUAGAAUUCCCGGUGUAGCGGUGAAAUGCGUAGAGAUCGGGAGGAAUACCAGUGGCGAAGGCGGCCUUCUGGACUGACACUGACGCUGAGGUGCGAAAGCGUGGGUAGCAAACAGGAUUAGAUACCCCGGUAGUC